Molecule: ribosomal RNA, 1408 nt
Filed under: bacterium
Lineage: Bacteria
Description: bacterial SSU rRNA
Rfam family: Bacterial small subunit ribosomal RNA
Source: RNAcentral
GUACCUGCAGUCGAGCGGAUGACGGGAGCUUGCUCCUUGAUUCAGCGGCGGACGGGUGAGUAAUGCCUAGGAAUCUGCCUGGUACUGGGGGACAACGUUUCGAAAGGAACGCUAAUACCGCAUACGUCCUACGGGAGAAAGGAAAUUCCCAACCCUUAAGGGACUAUCCGAUGAGCCUAUGUCGGAUUACCUAGUUGGUGAUGUAAUGGCUCACCAAGGCGACCAUCCCUAACUGGUCUGAGAGGAUGAACCUGCACACUGGAUCUGACACACGGUCCCUACUCCUACGGGAGGAAUCCUUGGGGAAUAUUGGACAAUGGACCAAAGCCUGAUCCAGACAUGCCGAGUGAGUGAAGAAGGUCUUCGGAUUGUAAAUCACUUUAAGUUGGGAUGAAGGGCAGGAAGUUAAUACCUUGUUGUUUUGACGUUACCGACCUAAUAAGCACCGGCUAACUCUGUGCCAGCUACCUCGGUAAUACAGAGGGUGCAAGCGUUAAUCGGAAUUACUGGGCGUAAAGCGCGCGUACGUGGUUCGUUAAGUUGGAUGUGAAAGCCCCGGGCUCAACCUGGGAACUGCAUCCAAAACUGGCGAGCUAGAGUACGGUAGAGGGUGGUGGAAUUUCCUGUGUAGCGGUGAAAUGCGUAGAUAUAAGAAGGAACACCAGUGGCGAAAGCGACCACCUGGACUGAUACUGACUCUGAGGUGCGAAAGCGUGGGGAGCAAACAGGAUUAGAUACCCUGGUAGUCCACGCCGUAAACGAUGUCAACUAACCGUUGGAAUCCUUGAGACUUUAGUGGCGCAGGUAACGCCUUAAGUCGAUCGCCUGGGGAGUUCGGCCGCAAGGUUAAAACUUAAAUGAAUUGACGGGGGCCCGCACCAACGGUGGAGCAUGUGGUUUAAUUUGAAGCGGGCCCUUAAGGUUUUAAAACCCUUAAACCCUUUGGGAAAACCCCAAGCAUUUCCGAAUUAACCAUUUAAUAGACACAGGUGCUGCAUGGCUGUUGUCAGCUUGUGUCGUGAGAUGUUGGGUUAAGUUCCGUAACGAGCGCAACCCUUGUCUUUAGUUACCAGCACGUUAUGGUGGGCACUCUAAGGAGACUGCCGGUGACAAACCGGAGGAAGGUGGGGAUGACGUCAAGUCAUCAUGGCCCUUACGGCCUGGGCUACACACGUGCUACAAUGGUCGGUACAGAGGGUUGCCAAGCCGCGAGGUGGAGCUAAUCUCACAAAACCGAUUGUAGUCCGGAUCGCAGUUUCCAAUUGGAUUCCGGGAAGUGGGAAUCGUUAGUAAUCGGGAAUCACAAUGUCGCGGGGAAUACGUUCCCGGCCCUUGUACACACCGCCCGUCACACCAUGGGAGUGGGAACACCAGAAGUAGCUAGUCUAACCUCGGGAGGCUUUAACCC